AGCAGUAGCCGCGGUAAAACGAAGGGGGCUGGCGUUGCUCGGAAUUACUGGGCGUAAAGGGUGCGUAGGCGGACAGUUCAGUCGGGGGUGAAAGCCCGGGGCUCAACCUCGGAAUUGCCUUCGAUACUGGCUGUCUUGAGUAUGAGAGAGGUGUGUGGAACUCCGAGUGUAGAGGUGAAAUUCGUAGAUAUUCGGAAGAACACCAGUGGCGAAGGCGACACACUGGCUCAUUACUGACGCUGAGGCGCGAAAGCGUGGGGAGCAAACAGGAUUAGAUACCCGAGUAGUCCCUGUCUCUUAUAA
RNAcentral lists this ribosomal RNA (303 nucleotides) under uncultured bacterium. RNAcentral describes it as "partial 16S ribosomal RNA". It matches the Rfam family "Bacterial small subunit ribosomal RNA", at positions 507 to 809 of the family's 1533-position model. The record is from RNAcentral.